RNAcentral lists this ribosomal RNA (254 nucleotides) under uncultured bacterium. Its description in RNAcentral is "partial 16S ribosomal RNA". It matches the Rfam family "Bacterial small subunit ribosomal RNA", at positions 524 to 776 of the family's 1533-position model. The record is from RNAcentral.
UACGGGGGGAGCAAGCGUUGUUCGGAUUUACUGGGCGUAAAGGGCGCGUAGGCGGUCAGCACAAGUCAGUUGUGAAAUCUCCGGGCUUAACUCGGAAAGGUCAACUGAUACUGUGCGACUAGAGUGCAGAAGGGGCAACUGGAAUUCUCGGUGUAGCGGUGAAAUGCGUAGAUAUCGAGAGGAACACCUGCGGCGAAGGCGGGUUGCUGGGCUGACACUGACGCUGAACUGCGAAAGCUAGGGGGGCGAACGGG